RNAcentral lists this transfer RNA (88 nucleotides) under Xylaria sp. FL1777. RNAcentral's name for it is "tRNA-Thr". It matches the Rfam family "tRNA". From Rfam's summary of the family: Transfer RNA (tRNA) molecules are approximately 80 nucleotides in length. Lineage: Eukaryota; Fungi; Ascomycota; Sordariomycetes; Xylariales; Xylariaceae. The record is from RNAcentral.
GCCUCUAUGGCGUAGUGGUAGCGCGUGUCACUUGUAACCUAUUAUCAAGAUCAUGACAAGGUCUCUCGUUCGAUCCGGGAUGGAGGCA